AAGCAGAGGGGGCUUAGUGGUGGGGUGACUGCGUACCUUUUGUAUAAUGGGUCAGCGACUUAUAUUCUGUAGCAAGGUUAACCGAAUAGGGGAGCCGGAGGGAAACCGAGUCUUAACCGGGCGUUAAGUUGCAGGGUAUAGACCCGAAACCCGGUGAUCUAGCCAUGGGCAGGUUGAAGGUUGGGUAACACUAACUGGAGGACCGAACCGACUAAUGUUGAAAAAUUAGCGGAUGACCUGUGGCUGGGGGUGAAAGGCCAAUCAAACCGGGAGAUAGCUGGUUCUCCCCGAAAGCUAUUUAGGUAGCGCCUCGUGAAUUCAUCUCCGGGGGUAGAGCACUGUUUCGGCUAGGGGGUCAUCCCGACUUACCAACCCGAUGCAAACUGCGAAUACCGGAGAAUGUUAUCACGGGAGACACACGGCGGGUGCUAACGUCCGUCGUGAAGAGGGAAACAACCCAGACCGCCAGCUAAGGUCCCAAAGUCAUGGUUAAGUGGGAAACGAUGUGGGAAGGCCCAGACAGCCAGGAUGUUGGCUUAGAAGCAGCCAUCAUUUAAAGAAAGCGUAAUAGCUCACUGGUCGAGUCGGCCUGCGCGGAAGAUGUAACGGGGCUAAACCAUGCACCGAAGCUGCGGCAGCGACACUAUGUGUUGUUGGGUAGGGGAGCGUUCUGUAAGCCUGCGAAGGUGUCUCGUGAGGGAUGCUGGAGGUAUCAGAAGUGCGAAUGCUGACAUAAGUAACGAUAAUGCGGGUGAAAAACCCGCACGCCGGAAGACCAAGGGUUCCUGUCCAACGUUAAUCGGGGCAGGGUGAGUCGACCCCUAAGGCGAGGCCGAAAGGCGUAGUCGAUGGGAAACAGGUUAAUAUUCCUGUACUUGGUGUUACUGCGAAGGGGGGACGGAGAAGGCUAUGUUGGCCGGGCGACGGUUGUCCCGGUUUAAGCGUGUAGGUGUGUGUUCCAGGUAAAUCCGGUUCACUUUAACACUGAGGCGUGAUGACGAGGCACUACGGUGCUGAAGCAAC
Molecule: ribosomal RNA, 1023 nt
Filed under: Salmonella enterica
Lineage: Bacteria; Pseudomonadati; Pseudomonadota; Gammaproteobacteria; Enterobacterales; Enterobacteriaceae
Also listed under: 1 other name
Description: partial 23S ribosomal RNA
Rfam family: Bacterial large subunit ribosomal RNA
Source: RNAcentral